Long non-coding RNA from Ruditapes philippinarum (Manila clam), 751 nucleotides. RefSeq lists it as uncharacterized. The record is from RefSeq and is a predicted model, not a curated record. NCBI's taxonomy places the organism in Eukaryota, Metazoa, Mollusca, Bivalvia, Venerida, Veneridae. The transcript has 3 exons.
CAGCUGUCAGGAGUUUUUAAAGUGGUGAAUUUAAACAGUGUUACAACAGAAUGAAGAUUUCUGAAAAAAGUAGAUGGCUAACCUAUUAUAUUUUGGGCAUCAUUUGACUUAGAUAGUGUUAAUGUUUAAAGUUGAAGACAGUAUAUAUAAUUCAUCAAGAACAUUGGAAUCCAGAAUUAAACCUCAAAUUUGACUGAUUUACUAUAGAACUAAUAGUACGAAAAUUCACCGGGCCGAGUCCAAGAUAAGAAAUGUCAAAAAUGGGAACUGGUUGAUGGAUAUGGAUGAAACUUUGCAUCAGUGUUGUGUUUAUGAAUAGAAGUCAGGAAAAUAAAGGAUUACUGACAGACCAUGCAGUUACCAAAGCCUGGGUUUGAGUAUAUGACCUUACCUUAUCCUGGUAAAGAUCUAUAGAAGGACUCCUUCAGCUCUGUUUGGCAGCAGCUUUGUCAGGACACAUUGAGAAGGAACUCAUUUGUUGGUGGAAGGAUUAAAGAUGUACUACCCACCAGCUGUCAGGAGUUUUUUAAAGUGGUGAAUUUAAACAGUGUUACAACAGAAUGAAGAUUUCUGAAAAAAGUAGAUGGCUAACCUAUUAUAUUUUGGGCAUCAUUUGACUUAGAUAGUGUUAAUGUUUAAAGUUGAAGACAGUAUAUAAUUCAUCAAGAACAUUGGAAUCCAGAAUUAAACCUCAAAUUUGACUGAUUUACUAUAGAACUAAUAGUACGAAAAUUCACCGGGCCGAGUCCAG